AUUAAACUAUUAGCUUAAAAUAAGCUUUAAUUGAUAAACUAAGAUAGUGUUUCCGAUACCUUAUAACGCAUCAGUUACAGACACUUAACACGGGUGUAUCCAUAGGAAGGGUUGUGCCUGGGGACAUUUGAAAAAGAGAUUUCAUAAUAAACUUUUUUUGGAUCAUAAUGAAAUUGAACACUGCAAACUGUAAAGCCUUCCUCUGCCUUUGAAUCACUGAAGAAUGAAUAAUAAUGAAAGUAAACCUAGAAUGUUGUAAAUAUGUGAUGGAAAGUUGCCCAGGUUCGGGAUGUCUGUUGCCAUGACAACAAUGGACCUGUCUCCUGAAGGCUGGGUGACUUAGCAGCAUGAAGCACACAGUAACACCCGGUUUAGCUUCAUCAGAUGCUGUGCCAUUCACCUUGCUAAAUCUGGAGCAACUCUGCAGGAGAUUCGAGCCACCUUUUGCAUUCUUUACCAUCCAUCUUUAACACUUUGUCUUGUAUUUUACCCUUGACUGGAAGAUCUAACAUGAGCUCCUGUGGAUUUAGCAGCAGGAUUGAGAUGAAAUGGAUUUUCUGAGUCCUUAUCCUGAGUCUCUUCUUCCAAUAAGGAUUCCAAGAAAAGAGGGAAUAAACUGGAAUUGAAGAAUGCAUCAUUCCUGAGUCUAAUCUCAGUCCAGCAACACAGGAUUCAGCUAUGAUACCUCCUGCUUCUGUACCUGUACCAUGAUCUGCCAAAUAUUGUAUCUGCCAGGGGUUUACCUCAUAAAUGGUGUUUUACACUUUAUGGAUCGGGUUGGUUAAAAUUCACUUCAUUAGCAAAAUCCUAUAAACCUAUUUACUGGUAUAAAUGAAAAAUAUGGUCUCACACUUCUGGAUGCUAUUGUUAAUGAGAAACUAUAAUGAGGAAUAAGUGU
Misgurnus anguillicaudatus (oriental weatherfish) is the source of this 898-nucleotide long non-coding RNA. RefSeq lists it as uncharacterized. The record is from RefSeq and is a predicted model, not a curated record. NCBI's taxonomy places the organism in Eukaryota, Metazoa, Chordata, Actinopteri, Cypriniformes, Cobitidae.